This is a long non-coding RNA of Crotalus tigris (Tiger rattlesnake), 1291 nucleotides long. RefSeq lists it as uncharacterized. NCBI's taxonomy places the organism in Eukaryota, Metazoa, Chordata, Lepidosauria, Squamata, Viperidae. The record is from RefSeq and is a predicted model, not a curated record. The transcript is spliced from 6 exons.
GCUCCCCCUGGUGCUGCUGCUGCUGCUGGCGGGGGCGCUGGCCCGGAUCCCCGGAAGCGAAGGGGGGAAGGAGACCCCCGCACCUCCGUCGCUGCCAACAGUCCUGCCGCCCAAGAUAAACAUGUUUCGGAGGACAUCGUUUGCGAAAGCAUUUUCCUCCUAGACGACGACACCGUGGUUGGGCAUUCCCUAUGAAAAGAAAAAGAGGAGACACUUUAGCCAUCUCUGCUAACUCCAUCAGCUUUUGUAACCGUUCAUCCAAGAUGGGAAUGGAAGCAUCCUUCCAGGAAUUCCAGGAUUCCUAGGACUACAGCAAGUUUUCUCUGACCACACAGAUCCAUCUCUGCUGAUCUCCUGCAGCAGCUCAAAUAAAUCAGCCAUUAACCCAGGUUUGAAGUCUGACUCAAAGAUGAAUUAGCUGACAGGAAUGCAAGGAAAAGAAAUGCGAACAGCAGAUAAAGGAUCUUCAUGCUGAGACUGGUUCUGGACAAAAUCUUACUCCUUGGACAGACUUGGCUCUCUAUUUAUGGAGUUGUAAUGAUUGCAUCAUAUCACCUCAGUGAACUGUUGCAAAAUAGUUCUUACCUAAGGCAACGGUGCAUCUUCCUUGUAUUGAAACACUCCUGUUUGUUAGCUGUUACAAAAGCCCUGAGAAGAGCAGCAGACUUAGUUGAACAUCUAACCUGCUAUGGCUAUAAAAGAUGGGAGGCUCAGGACUUGCAGUGUCUGAAUGGGUCAAAGAAAAUUCCUUACUGAAUUGCUGCCCAAACUCUACAGUCCACGAUGAUAAUGCUCGGCCAGGUUCACCAAUGGCUGGACUAUGGGAAGAGCCCUUAGAAAGUCUCAACAUCUUUUUUUACAUUGUGGUGACCAAAACUGGAGGCAGAAGUCCAAGUGUGGCCUUACCACUCCUUAUUAGGAGUCCUGUGAGACACAGAAGAUCAACUGAAAUUGAGAAGGAGAACUGGGUUCCAAAAGCUUUUAUUCUAUAAAAAGCUAGUACGCGUGAUUUGCAAUAUUGAACUGGUGAAGGAGAAUCCCCAGAACCUGCACAAUCUCACACUUGGCUACAACACCCAUGACAACUAUGAUAACACCCUCGGCACUUCAGAUGCCUUGCUGGACAUGCUCUCUACUGGAAAAGCCAAUGUUCCCAACUACAGCUGUGGAAGGGAGGAGAAGCUUUUGGCUCUUUUUGAUGGAGCUGACAGAGACAGCUCCAUCCAGAUGUCAACAUUAGCAAGCACCUACAAAGUCCCACAGGUUUGUGUUUCUCCUUCCCUUUCUGUAA